GGCUAACUCAAAAGGAUGGACCGCGC
This 26-nucleotide non-coding RNA is filed under the name Mus musculus (house mouse). The record is from RNAcentral. Lineage: Eukaryota; Metazoa; Chordata; Mammalia; Rodentia; Muridae.